This is a long non-coding RNA of Mustela erminea (ermine), 1082 nucleotides long. RefSeq lists it as uncharacterized. The record is from RefSeq and is a predicted model, not a curated record. The transcript has 3 exons. Lineage: Eukaryota; Metazoa; Chordata; Mammalia; Carnivora; Mustelidae.
GCAUGUUCUUCUGCACAUUCGUCUGGAUGGAAAUAGAGUGAGAGGAGAGGAUCUCUACCUUCUCAUUAACAGGAGGGUUCAGGGUGUGCUGCACAAACGCGCUACGCCGAGGGCACCAUGCACCGUGCUGCUAGAGACGGAUCGAAGGUGUUUUCAUGCCCAUGAUUGGUAUAUGGCAUGAGAGUCAGAUUUAUUUCCCCUUCCAUACUAAAUGAUCCCCCAUUGUAAAACUACUCAGCAGUACUGAAUAGACAGGGAAGAUCUCCAAAAAAGAUGCCGGGCCACAGAUCUCCCAUCUGCCACAACGCUGGGACGUGGUGAUGAAUUUUCAUGGGACGGAAAAGAACAACUAUCCUAUAUACACCAGGAGGACAGCAAAGAAGGAAGGUCAGUGAGAAAUCUGUUUCAAAGCAAGAGAAGUUCAGGGCACAUUCACACUUGCCGGAGAGUGACCACAAAGGAGGUGCCAGGAGGCCAGCGGGAGCUAAAGCCCCGCGGAUGGAGAAGGGUUGUGUCUAAUCCCCGGCAGCCGCAAGAGCUCAGCACGAGUGAUAAAAAAGAGAUCUAGCGGUAAUCCAGCCUCUCAACAAAGAGACUUACCAUCCUGAGGGGUGAGAUCCACUCAGCCGUGCAGGGUCAUCAGCGGAUCUAAUCCCGCCAAGCCUGUGGACAGAUCGAGUCUGGAAGCCUGUCUUGCUCCAGGGUCGUUUCCCGGCGUUGCUGUGUCAUGGAGCGACACCUAGUGGGAGAAAGAAGGGGAGCAGGAACCUGACAACAUUUGUGCUUUGGGUGACUCUUUGGAUGAAGGUUACAGAAAAUGCACCUUGGGGUGGGGCACGAGGUCCCGUUUACAAGAGUUUCCUUCCUUGCUGGUAACAAAUGGAGCCUUUUCUCCUUUUAAAAUAUUUACGAUCUGAAUAAGGUGGAGAGGUGUGAUGUCGGUAAACCCUGCUCUGUCCAAAACACCACCCCCACAGAAAUGACACUCCUCUGAGGCCCAGGAGAAGCCCGGAAUCCGGCCAUGCAAAGACUGGAAUGCCUAAGGAAGGUAAAGCAAGUAGCCCCGCGGCUGGUAAGGGGGG